GCGGGCGGUUCGCCGCCCGUGACUCUGCGAGAAGUCCAUUGAACCUUAUCAUUUAGAGGAAGGAGAAGUCGUAACAAGGUUUCCGUAGGUGAACCUGCGGAAGGAUCAUUGUCGAGACCGAAAUAUACCGAGCGAUUAGGAGAACCCGUGAACAAGCGACGGCACCCGUCGUCGUGUAAUUGCCGUCUUCAGCGUCGGCCUCAUAAAUGGGGCCACGAUGAAAGAUGGGUAAAAACACAAACCGGCGCAGCUACGCGCCAAGGGAAUACAAAUAUACACGAGCCCGUAUCGGGUUUGUUGGCGUGGAGCGCGGUCGCGCACCACACGAAAAAAAUGACUCUCGGCAAUGGAUAUCUCGGCUCUCGCAUCGAUGAAGAGCGCAGCGAAAUGCGAUACGUGGUGCGAAUUGCAGAAUCCCGCGAACCAUCGAGAAUUUGAACGCAAGUUGCGCCCGAGGCCAUCCGGCCAAGGGCACGUCCGCCUGGGCGUCAAGCGUUACGUCGCUCCUCGCCAUCUCUUAUGGAUGACAGGAUGUGCAGAGUGGCUCGUCGUGCCCGCGGGCGCGGCGGGCUUAAGAGCGGGUGAUCGUCUCGUUGUCCACGAACGACAGGGGGUGGAUGUAAAUUGUGCCUAUGUUGUAUCGUGCCGACGUGAGGAGCGGUUAUACCCAGCGGAUGAUCCCAGUCCAAGCGUUGUUCCAUGGAAUUCGGCUUGGAAUGCGACCCCAGGAUGGGCGAGGCCACCCGCUGAGUUUAAGCAUAUCAAUAAGCGGAGGAGAAGAAACUUACAAG
This 791-nucleotide ribosomal RNA is filed under the name Specklinia recula. RNAcentral describes it as "eukaryotic LSU rRNA". The stretch from base 336 to 491 matches the Rfam family "5.8S ribosomal RNA". The record is from RNAcentral. Lineage: Eukaryota; Viridiplantae; Streptophyta; Magnoliopsida; Asparagales; Orchidaceae.